UCCGAGUUGACCCCGGCAGUCUCCGACGAGUCCCCACCACCGCAAGCGGCGUGCUGGCAACAUCGAACGAGGGUUGCGCUCGUUGCGGGACUUAACCCAACAUCUCACGACACGAGCUGACGACAACCAUGCACCACCUGUGCACCAGCCCAAAAAGGGGGCGACCAUCUCUGACCGUUACUGGCACAUGUCAAGCCUUGGUAAGGUUCUUCGCGUUGCAUCGAAUUAAUCCGCAUGCUCCGCCGCUUGUGCGGGCCCCCGUCAAUUCCUUUGAGUUUUAGCCUUGCGGCCGUACUCCCCAGGCGGGGCGCUUAAUGCGUUAGCUGCGGCACAGGACCCGUGGAAUGGACCCCACACCUAGCGCCCAACGUUUACGGCAUGGACUAC
This 387-nucleotide unclassified non-coding RNA is filed under the name uncultured Actinomycetes bacterium. Its description in RNAcentral is "uncultured actinobacterium contains 16S-23S intergenic spacer region". Lineage: Bacteria; Bacillati; Actinomycetota; Actinomycetes. The record is from RNAcentral.